RNAcentral lists this transfer RNA (83 nucleotides) under Canis lupus familiaris (dog). It matches the Rfam family "tRNA". Rfam says of the family: Transfer RNA (tRNA) molecules are approximately 80 nucleotides in length. Their secondary structure includes four short double-helical elements and three loops (D, anti-codon, and T loops). Further hydrogen bonds mediate the characteristic L-shaped molecular structure. tRNAs have two regions of fundamental functional importance: the anti-codon, which is responsible for specific mRNA codon recognition, and the 3' end, to which the tRNAs corresponding amino acid is attached (by aminoacyl-tRNA synthetases). tRNAs cope with the degeneracy of the genetic code in two manners: having more than one tRNA (with a specific anti-codon) for a particular amino acid; and 'wobble' base-pairing, i.e. permitting non-standard base-pairing at the 3rd anti-codon position. RNAcentral also lists the same sequence under 1 other name. Lineage: Eukaryota; Metazoa; Chordata; Mammalia; Carnivora; Canidae. The record is from Rfam by way of RNAcentral.
GCCUGGGUGGCUCAGUGGUUGAGCAUCUGCCUUCAGCUCAGGUCUUCAUCCCAGGGUCCUGGGAUCGAGUCCCACACCGGGCU